GACGAACGCUGGCGGCGUGCUUAACGCAUGCAAGUCGAACGGUAAGGCCCUUCGGGGUACACGAGUGGCGAACGGGUGAGUAACGCGUGGGUGAUCUGCCCUGCACUUCGGGAUAAGCCUGGGAAACUGGGUCUAACACCGGAUAGGACUCCUGGCUUCAUGGUUGGGGGUGGAAAGCUUUUGCGGUGUGGGAUGGGCCCGCGGCCUAUCAGCUUGUUGGUGGGGUAAUGGCCUACCAAGGCGACGACGGGUAGCCGGCCUGAGAGGGUGACCGGUCACACUGGGACUGAGAUACGGCCCAGACUCCUACGGGAGGCAGCAGUGGGGAAUAUUGCACAAUGGGCGCAAGCCUGAUGCAGCGACGCCGCGUGAGGGAUGACGGCCUUCGGGUUGUAAACCUCUUUCAGCUAUGACGAAGCGCAAGUGACGGUAGUAGCAGAAGAAGGACCGGCCAACUACGUGCCAGCCGCCGCUGUAA
RNAcentral lists this ribosomal RNA (478 nucleotides) under uncultured bacterium. RNAcentral's name for it is "partial 16S ribosomal RNA". It matches the Rfam family "Bacterial small subunit ribosomal RNA", at positions 28 to 523 of the family's 1533-position model. The record is from RNAcentral.